GGAUCCUUCCCCCUGAGCAGAAAGCACCCCGUCUUCUCAUGACAGAGUGGCCCUGGAGGUCCGGGAAUGAAACUCAUGAGUCGAUGGAAUGAGAGCCAAGGAUGAAGCUUCUGGAUUGUAAUGCUGGAACAAUGACAAGCCUACAGAUGGCUCCAGGCCCAGAUGGCUUCACGGGUGACUCUACCACACCUGUGAGCAGCGGACACCACCAGAGGCUGCCUCAGUGGCUGUAAAGCAUAGAUAAGGAAGGACAUUUCCAAAUUCUUUUUAUAAAGGAGCAACACCAAACCCAGUGAGAGUACAUUGCAAAUCCGAGAUAAUCGCAGGGAGCGAUCUGGCCCAGACAGACCAGCAUCUGGCUCCUUAGCUACUCCAUCAUCAGCAAGCUCCCUUCUGCACCAGCUGCUCGGGCGUCCCAGCCAGCGGGACGGAUGAAAUGAAGGAAGAUGCCUCAGUCAACUUGGGGGCCAUAAAAACACAUUUAUUUUUCACACUUCUGGAAGUGGCAAGUCCGAGAUCAGGGUGCCUCACGGGCGGGUUGUGGUGGGGCUUCUCUCCCUGCCUUGCAGACAGCUGCCUUCUGGCUGUGUCCUCACGUGGUACAGAGAGAACCAGUUUCUUCCUCUUGUAAGACACUAAUCCCAUCCUGGGAUCCACACUCAUGACCUCAUCUAAACCCAGAUUCUUCCCAAAGUUCCCACCCCCAAACACCGACCUCAGGGCUUUGACAUGUGAAUUUGAGGAGGGGGACAAAUUUCAGUCCACAGCAGAAGGCAUGGCCCUGCUGUUUAAGGAUGCUUUUUGAAAGUUGCCUAUAACACAUCUGCUUCACUUUAGGCACAUGGCCACACCUAACUGUAAGAGAGGUUGGGGAAUAUACCCAGCAACAUUGAGAUUUCUAUUACAAUGUGCUCAGAUGAGAGUUGGGAUUCAGGCUUUUUCCACAUUGCUUUGUCCUGAUCGUGAUACCUCGUGGUCCAAAAUGGCUGCUUGAGAGACAGUCAUCACCUCCGCUUUCCAGCCAAGAAGACGUUCCUUACUUAGUCAGAGUGUAGUGUGGGGAUGUAGCCUUUUAUAUGCAUACAGUGUAUCCAGCCAAAAGCUGGGGUCCUAAUUACUAAUGGAAAAGGAUGGAAAGGGUGUUGGGGUAACUAGCAGUCUUCCACCUCCACCCUCUAGUUGCCUCAAGGAUCUUAGAGCCUGGUGUACAAUGGCACUCUCCUGUUCUGCCAUAACCUGCUAAGUCUACACCACAUGCUCCCCAAGUGCAUGGGCUUAGCUUUCCUUCCUGUUUUUCCUCCCAGAAUUUGCCAGCUAGCAAACAACAGGCAAUCAUUAGCCUAGCAUUUGUGUGCUGUGCUGAGGUUGAGUCGUACCAGGUGUGGAUUCUGGAAGCAGAGGCUGGUGGUUGCUCUCUGACCUCAAGUUCGCCUACCACCCAUGCUAACGCCUGCCACCCCCACCCCCGGCCCUGUGUCUCCUCCAGUUUCAGAGUUUAUGAGCCCGGCUCCCCUUAGCAGAGAUUUUCCACUCUGUACCCCUCCGUAAAGUUUCAGAGCUCUUUCUAAUAAACCCCAGAUGGAGGGAACGUUUUGCCCGGCAGCAAGAUCUUUCCCUGGCAUUUUUGAGACAUUUAACAGCCAAGGAUUGUCCAGAGCUGGGAGAAGGCCAUGAAGGACAGACACCAGGUCUCAGGAGGUGACAAACAGGGAGCAGGGAGGGACCAUUGCCCUCAGCCAUCUCUCUGCAGCCAGGGGUUUCCAGAUGGCUCAGCCUGCCCCGUGGGCUCUCCCCUCCUUUAUUUGCUCUGUGCUGGACAACGUGAUUCAACCGUGCACUGCGGAACCUGUCCCGAGCACACAGGGUGAUAAGAUGAGGUCCUUGCUCUCCACGGCCUCCAGACAGGAGAGGUGCAUCCACCGUGUGCACAGGGACGGGCAUCAUGAGCGGGCACAUUACAUUUGAGCUGUCAGUGCUGGGGCUGCAAGGCCCAGCCUUGAAAGGAGCCAUUCACAUCACUGGGGCCCUCAGGGUGUAGUGGCCAAACCCUGCGGGAAAGCCCCACCAUUAUAAUAAGCUUUCUCAUGACGGGCCUUGGGAGGAAUUAGAAAUAUAAUUUUUCAGGCGCUUACAAAAUAUCCAGUAAUUAGAGCUUAUGGACAUAAAAGGGGCAUGCCGUGAGAUUUGUGGCCCCCUUUUCAAAGGAACCGAUCUGUAUAUUAAAACAAUAAAAUAUGUCCAAGGGGGU
Molecule: long non-coding RNA, 2248 nt
Organism: Zalophus californianus (California sea lion)
Lineage: Eukaryota; Metazoa; Chordata; Mammalia; Carnivora; Otariidae
Exons: 3
Source: RefSeq, a predicted model, not a curated record